This 62-nucleotide transfer RNA is filed under the name Dermacentor albipictus. RNAcentral describes it as "tRNA-Glu". The record is from RNAcentral. Lineage: Eukaryota; Metazoa; Arthropoda; Arachnida; Ixodida; Ixodidae.
AUUUAAAUAGUGUAAUUAUAACACUUAACAUUUUCAUUGUUAAAAUCUUUUUAGUUUAAAUU